UUUAAUAUGUCAGAUAAAUGUUUAUGAGCUUAAAAUUCAUAUAUGAAUUAAUCUUCCUUUAAUG
RNAcentral lists this transfer RNA (64 nucleotides) under Cryptocercus punctulatus (brown-hooded cockroach). RNAcentral's name for it is "tRNA-Leu". Lineage: Eukaryota; Metazoa; Arthropoda; Insecta; Blattodea; Cryptocercidae. The record is from RNAcentral.